AUACGUAGGGGGCGAGCGUUGUCCGGAAUGACUGGGCGUAAAGGGCGUGUAGGCGGCCGAUUAAGUCUGGAGUGAAAGUCCUGCUUUCAAGGUGGGAAUUGCUUUGGAGACUGGUUGGCUUGAGUGCGGAAGAGGUAAGUGGAAUUCCCAGUGUAGCGGUGAAAUGCGUAGAGAUUGGGAGGAACACCAGUGGCGAAGGCGACUUACUGGGCCGUAACUGACGCUGAGGCGCGAAAGCGUGGGGAGCGAACAGGAUUAGAUACCCUGGUAGUCCACGCGGUAAACGAUGAAUGCUAGGUGUAGGGGGUAUCGACCCCUCCUGUGCCGGAGUGAACACAAUAAGCAUUCCGCCUGGGGAGUACGGCCGCGAGGUUGAAACUCAAAUGAAUUGGCGGGG
RNAcentral lists this ribosomal RNA (397 nucleotides) under uncultured bacterium. RNAcentral's name for it is "partial 16S ribosomal RNA". It matches the Rfam family "Bacterial small subunit ribosomal RNA", at positions 523 to 918 of the family's 1533-position model. The record is from RNAcentral.